GACGUAGGGGGCGAACGUUAUCCGGAAUUAUUGGCCGUAAAGCGCACGUAGGCGGCUUUGUAAGUCAGAGGUGAAAGCCCAGGGCUUAACCCUGGAAUUGCCUUUAAGACUGCAUCGCUAGAAUCGUGGAGAGGUGAGUGGAAUUCCGAGUGUAGAGGUGAAAUUCGUAGAUAUUCGGAAGAACACCAGUGGCGAAGGCGACUCACUGGACACGUAUUGACGCUGAGGUGCGAAAGCGUGGGGAGCAAACAGG
This 253-nucleotide ribosomal RNA is filed under the name uncultured bacterium. RNAcentral's name for it is "partial 16S ribosomal RNA". It matches the Rfam family "Bacterial small subunit ribosomal RNA", at positions 524 to 776 of the family's 1533-position model. The record is from RNAcentral.